RNAcentral lists this transfer RNA (77 nucleotides) under Marinifilum caeruleilacunae. Its description in RNAcentral is "Marinifilum sp. JC070 tRNA-His". It matches the Rfam family "tRNA". Rfam says of the family: Transfer RNA (tRNA) molecules are approximately 80 nucleotides in length. Their secondary structure includes four short double-helical elements and three loops (D, anti-codon, and T loops). Further hydrogen bonds mediate the characteristic L-shaped molecular structure. tRNAs have two regions of fundamental functional importance: the anti-codon, which is responsible for specific mRNA codon recognition, and the 3' end, to which the tRNAs corresponding amino acid is attached (by aminoacyl-tRNA synthetases). tRNAs cope with the degeneracy of the genetic code in two manners: having more than one tRNA (with a specific anti-codon) for a particular amino acid; and 'wobble' base-pairing, i.e. permitting non-standard base-pairing at the 3rd anti-codon position. The record is from RNAcentral. Lineage: Bacteria; Pseudomonadati; Bacteroidota; Bacteroidia; Marinilabiliales; Marinifilaceae.
GUGGAUGUAGCUCAGUUGGUUAGAGCGCUGGAUUGUGGUUCCAGAGGUCGCCGGUUCGAUUCCGGUCUUUCACCCCA